GACGAACGCUGGCGGCAUGCCUAAUACAUGCAAGUCGAACGCUGAAGCACUCUGCUUGCAGAGUGCGGAUGAGUGGCGAACGGGUGAGUAACACGUGGGAAAUCUGCCUAGGAGUGGGGGAUAACAUUCGGAAACGGAUGCUAAUACCGCAUAUCUUUUUGAACCGCAUGGUUCUUAAACGAAAGACGGCUUCGGCUGUCGCUCUUAGAUGAUCCCGCGGCGUAUUAGUUAGUUGGUGGGGUAAAGGCCUACCAAGACCAUGAUACGUAGCCGACCUGAGAGGGUGAUCGGCCACACUGGGACUGAGACACGGCCCAGACUCCUACGGGAGGCAGCAGUAGGGAAUCUUCCACAAUGGGUGAAAACCUGAUGGAGCAAUGCCGCGUGAAUGAAGAAGGUCUUCGGAUCGUAAAGUUCUGUUAUUAGAGAAGAACAAGUCAAGGAGUAACUGUCUUGACUUUGACGGUACCUAACCAGAAAGUCACGGCUAACUACGUG
This 498-nucleotide ribosomal RNA is filed under the name uncultured bacterium. RNAcentral's name for it is "bacterial SSU rRNA". It matches the Rfam family "Bacterial small subunit ribosomal RNA", at positions 28 to 507 of the family's 1533-position model. The record is from RNAcentral.